ACAAUUUGAAUCGUUUUUGCCAAUUUAUUGCGCAGAGUAGAAGGCGAGAGAUCACUUGCACGGGAAGCCACGGGUUGCAUAUUGCUCUGCUGUAACCGAUCAGCCGAUGGGGCGAUUGCUGCGCUGUGAUUGUCAAGUGAUUACGCUGCUACUUCGUGAUGGCAUUUGCUGUGAAGUGCACAGGAAAAUCAAAGGGGAAAGCACACACCAUCCAACACCGCCACCCCAAACCCAGCAAAAAGGAGCGACAGGCUACGGUGGUGGUGUACAGCUUUUUUUAAUUCGUGCCCAAACGACAUAAGACAUGGAGCUGAAAACAAGAGGAGACGACAAGACAUUGGAACCAUUGGUUGGUGGCGUAUGCUACGCUGCCUCGCUACUCUCAACCGCAGAUGGAUAAACCGAUAAGCAAAAGCAUCGAAUCGAGAGGUAGGUGGUUCCAGUGCCGGAGACACGGGACAACCCGAACCGUCGUUCCGUUUGUGUGUAUGUCGUGAUGGAAUGUUCGAGCUUAUCACCCCUAACCGUCGCGCAUAACUCACGACCGAACCAACACUGUGCGCCGUGUGUUUCCUGCUGUGCCGCGCCGCUAUGUGACCAGAAAUGGAGCGCAGGGUGAUUCCAUUUUUUUUAUUU
Molecule: long non-coding RNA, 636 nt
Organism: Anopheles merus
Lineage: Eukaryota; Metazoa; Arthropoda; Insecta; Diptera; Culicidae
Exons: 3
Source: RefSeq, a predicted model, not a curated record